CAGCCGCCGCGGUAACACGUAGGGUGCGAGCGUUAAUCGGAAUUACUGGGCGUAAAGCGUGCGCAGGCGGUUCGUUAAGACAGAUGUGAAAUCCCCGGGCUUAACCUGGGAACUGCAUUUGUGACUGACGGGCUAGAGUAUGGCAGAGGGGGGUAGAAUUCCACGUGUAGCAGUGAAAUGCGUAGAGAUGUGGAGGAAUACCGAUGGCGAAGGCAGCCCCCUGGGCCAAUACUGACGCUCAUGCACGAAAGCGUGGGGAGCAAACAGGAUUAGAUACCCCAGUAGUCCCUGUCUCUUAUAC
RNAcentral lists this ribosomal RNA (301 nucleotides) under uncultured bacterium. RNAcentral's name for it is "partial 16S ribosomal RNA". It matches the Rfam family "Bacterial small subunit ribosomal RNA", at positions 509 to 807 of the family's 1533-position model. The record is from RNAcentral.